Molecule: long non-coding RNA, 1610 nt
Organism: Phasianus colchicus (ring-necked pheasant)
Lineage: Eukaryota; Metazoa; Chordata; Aves; Galliformes; Phasianidae
Source: Ensembl
GAAUUGCUGAUGUCUGUGAAGUACUCAUAGAUUGUAAUAUUGUCAAUUGAAAAGUACCUUGGGGAACAAAUAAGAGAACAGACAAUAAAGUCUGAUGCCACAUUAAACUAUGAGGAGAAUACAAAUCAUGCAGUUGUUGCUCAUUUCAUGGCCACUUCUUGAUCUGAAUACUGGAAACAGCAAAUUACUCUGAAAAAAUAGUUAUGUAGCAUGUCACUGGGAGCUGAGUCAUAGUACCUCCAUGGAAGUGUUAAUUGGAAAAACACCAUCCCUUUCAUUUCAUCUAAUAGUAAUAGUGUACAAGAUGUGUUUUUUCAAGCCUUCUCCACUUAUAGAUCCCUAAAAGCUUUGCAGGAGAGAUGCAGACCCUUGGAUAAGAACAAGAUAAUGGUUUAUUCCAUGGUUACCUCUUCUGAAGCCCUUGGAAGUCUUCUAGAUCUCUCAGAGUCUGCGGACCACAUGUUGAAACCACUGUUUCUGACUGUAUAGCUCACACAGGAAAAAAAAAAAGAAGAAAAAAAAAGCCUGUUAAAUCAAAAAUCAUUCUCUUGGUCUUUCUAGUAACAUACACUGUGUAAUAAUUAAGCGUAUGAAACGUUCAGUGCCCUCACUGCUAGAAAUAUUCUUGAAAGAAAGAAAGGAGUUUGUUUUGACUGUACUGUAUCAGAUGUCCUGCCUAAGACUUUGUCUCUUUCUUUAUCUGUUUAGUUUUUUUUUUUUUCCAGUUGCCACUGCUCUGUUUGCUCUGGCCAACCACCACUCCUGUAGCCCUGGUCUUAGUUAGGGUUCCUGUAUGUUGGCUCACCUCUGCCUACUUAGUCCAGCUCCUACCACAUGCCAGCUUCUGCGUGCCUUCUGCUCAAGCUCUCCGUGUCCUCUGCACUGCUGCAGCUCUUCCUUUUCCCACCUGUUCCUUCCAUUGACCACUCAAUGCACUUGAUGCAUACCUCAUCCAAAAAAAGCGUGUUCUGCCAUGAGACCACAAUAAAUCAAGUGGAAGUCCCCUCUGAUGCUGGACUUGAACAGACUGGAAGAACACCAGCCCAUGCUAAGAAGACAGUUGCCAGGAAAUACAAAGUGUUGCAAGAGUAACCACCAAAUAUUUAUGGGCAGCAGUUCAAAGCGUGUUCUUCUGAGAAGCUGAAGCUGUAAAAUUCACAGUGCUAGGCUUCAUUUUUGCAAAGAUGCAUCUGAACAAGCAUCCACUAUGUUCUCAUUCAUAGCAUGGGCCUGCUAGUGGAUAAUUCUGCACAGCAGUAAUCACUUCAAGAUUUCUCCUGACUAUAUCCAAGAUUUCUGCUAUCAAUGCAAAUUGUUCCUCGGCAUCUGCUAAUAUGGAUAACACAUUUUAUUUAUAGUUUUACCUUUUCUGGUCUUCAUUUGUCCCGGUGAAAGAUGAUCUAGUUUGAUAUUUCUCAAGACAUAAUUGUUGUGUCUGAAGUCGUGCUUGUUUGUGUAACAGGGACUGCACUUGAGAGCUUUGCAGGAAUGAGAACGAGCACUGAUUUCACAAUGAGGCUGAGAUUCACUAAGGUUUCGGUGAAACAGUGGGAGAAGAGUGCAGAUAGUGAAUUCCACUUCCCUCUGCUGCAUGUAUACAUCGGUUUCCA